GACGAACGCUGGCGGCGUGCCUAACACAUGCAAGUCGAACGGGGUAUUUCUUCGGAGAUACUUAGUGGCAACGGGUGAGUAACGCGUGAGAAACCUGGCCCUACAGUAGGGGAACAACCAGGCCAACGCCUGGCUAAUACCGUAUAUAGUGGAAAGGUCGCCUGACCUUUUGACGAAAGAUUUAUCGCUGUAGGAUGAGCUUGCGUCCGAUUAGCUAGUAGGCGGGGUAACGGCCCACCAAGGCAACGAUCAGUAGCCGGCCUGAGAGGGUGAACGGCCACAUUGGGACUGAGACACGGCCCAAACUCCUACGGGAGGCAGCAGUGGGGAAUAUUGCACAAUGGGGGAAACCCUGAUGCAGCGACGCCGCGUGAGUGAAGAAGUAUUUCGGUAUGUAAAGCUCUAUCAGCAGGGAAGAAAAUGACGGUACCUGACUAAGAAGCUCCGGCUAAAUACGUG
RNAcentral lists this ribosomal RNA (459 nucleotides) under uncultured bacterium. RNAcentral's name for it is "bacterial SSU rRNA". It matches the Rfam family "Bacterial small subunit ribosomal RNA", at positions 28 to 507 of the family's 1533-position model. The record is from RNAcentral.